This 1532-nucleotide long non-coding RNA is filed under the name Coffea arabica (coffee). RNAcentral describes it as "long non-coding RNA (CARA_LNC006942)". Lineage: Eukaryota; Viridiplantae; Streptophyta; Magnoliopsida; Gentianales; Rubiaceae. The record is from RNAcentral.
AUACGACAUGAAUCCCAAAACCCAGCUCCAAAGACAUUAAAUAACACUAACGAAAACCCUGGUACGCAUCAGACACAACAGCUGCUGCAAGAUUUGAAUUUAAUUAACUUUAAGAAGCUUAAAAGGUGAACAAUGAGGGUUUAGACAUUCCCAAGUCUAUUGUGCACAAGAACAACGGAAACACCAUGGCAGCCAGGCAAACUGCUGAGUUUGUCUUCAAACAGAAGUUGAAAAUCAACGAGUCCGAAACAUAACCAACAAGCUUUGGCUCUAAACAUGCUAAAUUUCGGUUUUUUCUGCUAAAGCAACAAUCUUUAGUAGACUUUGGCAUCAAUCUCUGCUACAAAAUAAUCAAACGAGCAACUGUCAAAUAUUAACACAGAUUUCCAAUAAAAUAAUUAAAAACUUGAAAAGAGUAAAAAUAUCCACUAUAAAUCAAAUCAAAAUCUCCAAAAAGUUCAUGAAUUAUUAAAAAAAGCUACUAAGAUAACUAACUUAAAUUGAAAAAAAGAAGCCCUAUCUUACUAAGCUUUCAAAAAUUAAAAAAAUGGUACGAAACAGCACAGCAUCGUAUCCGAAGCCACCACUACUACACUUCAAGUUCAAAUUUCAAUUUUCCAGCCGCAAAAAUCCAACUUAAAAAGAAAUAAAGAGGAAAAACGGAAAUUUCCAAAAUUCAACAGCUACAAAACGGCAAGUAUUGUUGCCAUUAACCACCACUCGAUCAAGCCCUAAAUCUCACAAGAUAAACCAAGUCGAUCCACAGCUCAAAUUACUAAUUUCCCAAGCCUCGUAAAUUCACAAAAUUAACUAAAAACCAAAAAGCAAAAGGAAAAAAAAUCAACAAUCACCAAAAACACUGUAAACUACUAUAACUUACCAGAGAGAGUUAAAUAUUUCUCAGCACUUGCGACAGCGAAAAACCUCUCUGGAGGAUUGAGAUUGACUUCGAAUUGAACAUAAAUUUACACUCUUUCCACACUUCUUCAUUAACAUUUCCCAAAUUAAUUCACAGAUAAGUAAUUAAUUAAUUGAAAAUUUUACUACUACUGUUUCAGAAGCUACAGAGUUGGUAUAUCACUUUUUUUUCCGUUCCGAGUCGUCCUCUUUAGGAAUUUCAGUGCGUGUACUGCGUGAGAGAGAGAGAGAGAUUGAGAGAGAAGGGAGGGAGGGAGAGAGAGAAGGGGGAAGAGAGUAUCUAUUUUAGCUUCGUUUCUUUCUUGGCUGUACUUUUUAGAGAGAGAAAGUGUGUGGGUUUGUAGUUUUGUAGUACUGAAUAGUAGUAUAUUUUGUGUGUGAGAGAGAGCGUGUGAGAGUGUGUGUUCUUGCGGACGUCAAAACUGCAUUCCAUCGGAUUGAAUUUUCUUCUUCAUUCAUUCAUUCCCCCUUUCUCUUUCUUUUGUUUACCUUUUCUUUUUUUUUCCCCCCUUAUUCUCGCCCUCCCUCAAAAUGAAGUCAAUUCAUCUUCUUCUCUUUCUCAUAAUAAAUAAAAUAUUAUAUGGGUAGACUCAGCCUCUAGGUCCAACUCGUAC